UAGGGAAUCUUCGGCAAUGGACGAAAGUCUGACCGAGCAACGCCGCGUGAGUGAAGAAGGUUUUCGGAUCGUAAAACUCUGUUGUUAGAGAAGAACAAGGACGUUAGUAACUGAACGUCCCCUGACGGUAUCUAACCAGAAAGCCACGGCUAACUACUUGCCAGCAGCCGCGGUAAUACGUAGGUGGCAAGCGUUGUCCGGAUUUAUUGGGCGUAAAGCGAGCGCAGGCGGUUUCUUAAGUCUGAUGUGAAAGCCCCCGGCUCAACCGGGGAGGGUCCUUGGAAACUGGGAGACUUGGGUGCAGAAGAGGAGAGUGGAAUUCCAUGUGUAGCGGUGAAAGGCGUAGAUAUAUGGAGGAACACCAGUGGCGAAGGCGGCUCUCUGGUCUGUAACUGACGAUGAGGCUCGAAAGCGUGGGGAGCAAACAGG
Molecule: ribosomal RNA, 429 nt
Filed under: Gemmatimonadota bacterium
Lineage: Bacteria; Pseudomonadati; Gemmatimonadota
Description: Gemmatimonadetes bacterium partial 16S ribosomal RNA
Rfam family: Bacterial small subunit ribosomal RNA
Source: RNAcentral